GCGCCCUCGCGGCCGGGCUGGGGACGAUGGGGCCUCCCUCGGGCGGCCCCCGCAGUCCCGGGGCGUCUCACGCCACUCGCGCUCGUCGCGAGAGGCCGAGGCGCACCGAGAGCGCGCGCGUCGGGACCCGAAAGAUGGUGAACUAUGCCUGGCCAGGACGAAGUCAGGGGAAACCCUGAUGGAGGUCCGUAGCGAUUCUGACGUGCAAAUCGAUCGUCAGAGCUGGGUAUAGGGGCGAAAGACUAAUCGAACCAUCUAGUAGCUGGUUCCCUCCGAAGUUUCCCUCAGGAUAGCUGGCGCUCGGAGGUUUCGGAUCCCAUCCGGUAAAGCGAAUGAUUAGAGGCCUUGGGAUCGAAACGAUUUCAACCUAUUCUCAAACUUUAAAUGGGUGGGAACCGCGGCCUGCUCGAUGGGUGAGGCCGCGGACCCCGGACCAGAGUGCCCAGUGGGCCACUUUUGGUAAGCAGAACUGGCGCUGUGGGAUGAACCAAACGCCGGGUUAAGGCGCCCAAACGACGCUCAUCCGAUACCAUGAAAGGUGUUGGUUGCUUAAGACAGCAGGACGGUGGCCAUGGAAGUCGGAAUCCGCUAAGGAGUGUGUAACAACUCACCUGCCGAAGCAACUAGCCCUGAAAAUGGAUGGCGCUGAAGCGUCGUGCCUAUACCCGGCCGCCGGCGGCAGAGGGCCUCCGCCUUCGGGCGGCGGCCGCGAAGCCCCGGUGAGUAGGAGGGUCGCCGCGGUGAGCGCAGAAGGGUCUGGGCGCAAGCCUGCCUGGAGCCGCCGCGGGUGCAGAUCUUGGUGGUAGUAGCAAAUACUCCAGCGAGGGCCUGGAGGACCGAUGUGGAGAAGGGUUCCGUGUGAACAGCCGUUGCACACGGGUCAGUCGAUCCUAAGCCCUAGGCGAAAGCCGAUGAUGAUGGUCGCGGGAAGUCCCUGUGCUUCAGGGGCGCCGCCGUGCCGCCGCGCGAGCCUUCGCGAGACGUAGUAGUCCUCCCCCGGGGGGGCGAACGGUCGCGCGUCGUAGUAGCGCGGGGGCCCGCUACCGACGAAAGCGAGGCCCGCCGCCGCGGAGAGUCGUGCCCACGGGCCGACCUCUCAUAACGCGGCGCGCGGAGUAGUAGCGAGUAGGAAGGUGGCGGCGCGCGCGCGCCCCGCACGGUUCAGCACCCCGUCCGUCGGGCGAAAGGGAAUCCGGUUCCUAUUCCGGAACCCGGUCGCGGGACCGUCCUCUCGAUUCUCGUAUUGACGCGGUAACGCGAAGGACCCCAGAGAUGCCGUCUGGAGCCCGGGGAAGAGUUUUCUUUUCUGUUUGAGCGUUCGGGUUCCAUGGAAUCCUCUCGUAGGGAGAUAUGGAAUGGAGCGCGAAGAGCACCGCAGUUGCUGCGGUGUCCCGGGAGUCCCGUCGGCCCUUGAAAAUCUGGGUGAGGAUCACGUGGAGGCGCCGCACCGGCUCGUACCCAUAUCCGCAGCA
Molecule: ribosomal RNA, 1472 nt
Filed under: Polyplocia sp. EP361
Lineage: Eukaryota; Metazoa; Arthropoda; Insecta; Ephemeroptera; Euthyplociidae
Description: partial 28S ribosomal RNA
Rfam family: Eukaryotic large subunit ribosomal RNA
Source: RNAcentral